This 73-nucleotide transfer RNA is filed under the name Erebia aethiops (Scotch argus). Its description in RNAcentral is "tRNA-Leu". Lineage: Eukaryota; Metazoa; Arthropoda; Insecta; Lepidoptera; Nymphalidae. The record is from RNAcentral.
UAUAAAUUACACUAUUUUGGCAGAAAAAAUGUAGUGGUUUUAGAAGUCAUAAAUAUAUAAUUAAUUAUAUAAA